RNAcentral lists this ribosomal RNA (429 nucleotides) under Acidobacteriota bacterium. Its description in RNAcentral is "Acidobacteria bacterium partial 16S ribosomal RNA". It matches the Rfam family "Bacterial small subunit ribosomal RNA", at positions 355 to 776 of the family's 1533-position model. The record is from RNAcentral. Lineage: Bacteria; Pseudomonadati; Acidobacteriota.
UGGGGAAUUUUGGACAAUGGGGGAAACCCUGAUCCAGCCAUCCCGCGUGUGCGAUGAAGGCCUUCGGUUUGUAAAGCACUUUUGGCAGGAAAGAAACGUCAUGGGUUAAUACCCCGUGAAACUGACGGUACCUGCAGAAUAAGCACCGGCUAACUACGUGCCAGCAGCCGCGGUAAUACGUAGGGUGCAAGCGUUAAUCGGAAUUACUGGGCGUAAAGCGUGCGCAGGCGGUCCGGAAAGAAAGAUGUGAAAUCCCAGAGCUCAACUUUGGAACUGCAUUUUUAACUACCGGGCUAGAGUGUGUCAGAGGGAGGUGGAAUUCCGCGUGUAGCAGUGAAAUGCGUAGAUAUGCGGAGGAACACCGAUGGCGAAGGCAGCCUCCUGGGAUAACACUGACGCUCAUGCACGAAAGCGUGGGGAGCAAACAGG